UUAGAGUUUGAUCAUGGCUCAGGACGAACGCUGGCGGCGUGCUUAACACAUGCAAGUCGAACGGAAAGGCCCUGCUUUUGUGGGGUGCUCGAGUGGCGAACGGGUGAGUAACACGUGAGUAACCUGCCCUUGACUUUGGGAUAACUUCAGGAAACUGGGGCUAAUACCGGAUAGGAGCUCCUGCUGCAUGGUGGGGGUUGGAAAGUUUCGGCGGUUGGGGAUGGACUCGCGGCUUAUCAGCUUGUUGGUGGGGUAGUGGCUUACCAAGGCUUUGACGGGUAGCCGGCCUGAGAGGGUGACCGGCCACAUUGGGACUGAGAUACGGCCCAGACUCCUACGGGAGGCAGCAGUGGGGAAUAUUGCACAAUGGGCGGAAGCCUGAUGCAGCAACGCCGCGUGCGGGAUGACGGCCUUCGGGUUGUAAACCGCUUUCGCCUGUGACGAAGCGUGAGUGACGGUAAUGGGUAAAGAAGCACCGGCUAACUACGUGCCAGCAGCCGCGGUGAUACGUAGGGUGCGAGCGUUGUCCGGAUUUAUUGGGCGUAAAGGGCUCGUAGGUGGUUGAUCGCGUCGGAAGUGUAAUCUUGGGGCUUAACCCUGAGCGUGCUUUCGAUACGGGUUGACUUGAGGAAGGUAGGGGAGAAUGGAAUUCCUGGUGGAGCGGUGGAAUGCGCAGAUAUCAGGAGGAACACCAGUGGCGAAGGCGGUUCUCUGGGCCUUUCCUGACGCUGAGGAGCGAAAGCGUGGGGAGCGAACAGGCUUAGAUACCCUGGUAGUCCACGCUGUAAACGGUGGGUACUAGGUGUGGGGUCCAUUCCACGGGUUCCGUGCCGUAGCUAACGCUUUAAGUACCCCGCCUGGGGAGUACGGCCGCAAGGCUAAAACUCAAAGGAAUUGACGGGGCCCCGCACAAGCGGCGGAGCAUGCGGAUUAAUUCGAUGCAACGCGUAGAACCUUACCUGGGUUUGACAUGGAUCGGGAGCGCUCAGAGAUGGGUGUGCCUCUUUUGGGGUCGGUUCACAGGUGGUGCAUGGCUGUCGUCAGCUCGUGUCGUGAGAUGUUGGGUUAAGUCCUGCAACGAGCGCAACCCUUGUUCACUGUUGCCAGCACGUUAUGGUGGGGACUCAGUGGAGACCGCCGGGGUCAACUCGGAGGAAGGUGGGGAUGACGUCAAGUCAUCAUGCCCCUUAUGUCCAGGGCUUCACGCAUGCUACAAUGGCUGGUACAGAGAGUGGCGAGCCUGUGAGGGUGAGCGAAUCUCGGAAAGCCGGUCUCAGUUCGGAUUGGGGUCUGCAACUCGAUCUCAUGAAGUCGGAGUCGCUAGUAAUCGCAGAUCAGCAACGCUGCGGUGAAUACGUUCCCGGGGCUUGUACACACCGCCCGU
Molecule: ribosomal RNA, 1384 nt
Filed under: unidentified marine bacterioplankton
Lineage: Bacteria
Description: bacterial SSU rRNA
Rfam family: Bacterial small subunit ribosomal RNA
Source: RNAcentral